GACGAACGCUGGCGGCGUGCUUAACACAUGCAAGUCGAACGGAAAGGCCUCUUCGGAGGUACUCGAGUGGCGAACGGGUGAGUAACACGUGGGCAAUCUGCCCUGCACUUCGGGAUAAGCCUGGGAAACUGGGUCUAAUACCGAAUAGGACCACUUGGCGCAUGCCUUGUGGUGGAAAGCUUUUGCGGUGUGGGAUGGGCCCGCGGCCUAUCAGCUAGUUGGUGGGGUGAUGGCCUACCAAGGCGACGACGGGUAGCCGGCCUGAGAGGGUGUCCGGCCACACUGGGACUGAGAUACGGCCCAGACUCCUACGGGAGGCAGCAGUGGGGAAUAUUGCACAAUGGGCGCAAGCCUGAUGCAGCGACGCCGCGUGGGGGAUGACGGCCUUCGGGUUGUAAACCUCUUUCACCAUCGACGAAGGUCCGGGUCUUCUCGGAUUGACGGUAGGUGGAGAAGAAGCACCGGCCAACUACG
Molecule: ribosomal RNA, 474 nt
Filed under: Mycobacterium sp.
Lineage: Bacteria; Bacillati; Actinomycetota; Actinomycetes; Mycobacteriales; Mycobacteriaceae
Description: bacterial SSU rRNA
Rfam family: Bacterial small subunit ribosomal RNA
Source: RNAcentral